RNAcentral lists this small nuclear RNA (23 nucleotides) under Arabidopsis thaliana (thale cress). RNAcentral's name for it is "snRNA_12053". Lineage: Eukaryota; Viridiplantae; Streptophyta; Magnoliopsida; Brassicales; Brassicaceae. The record is from RNAcentral.
GCUUGACCGAUCGACUGACCGAU